This 67-nucleotide transfer RNA is filed under the name Halosydna sp. YZ-2018. RNAcentral describes it as "tRNA-Arg". The record is from RNAcentral. Lineage: Eukaryota; Metazoa; Annelida; Polychaeta; Phyllodocida; Polynoidae.
AGAAAUGAGCAAAUUCCUGCACCUCGGUUUCGGCCCGAUUUUUUGAGGCUACCCCCUCACAUUUCUU